Gorilla gorilla gorilla (western lowland gorilla) is the source of this 107-nucleotide small nuclear RNA. The record is from Ensembl. NCBI's taxonomy places the organism in Eukaryota, Metazoa, Chordata, Mammalia, Primates, Hominidae.
GUGCUUGCUUACACAGCAUGUUUAUUAAAAUUAGAAUGAUACAGAGAAGAUUAGCAUGGGCCCAGCAUAGGAAUGACAUGAAAAUUCUUGAAGAAUUCCGUAUUUUU